Molecule: transfer RNA, 86 nt
Filed under: Fusobacterium sp.
Lineage: Bacteria; Fusobacteriati; Fusobacteriota; Fusobacteriia; Fusobacteriales; Fusobacteriaceae
Description: tRNA-Leu
Rfam family: tRNA
About the family: Transfer RNA (tRNA) molecules are approximately 80 nucleotides in length.
Source: RNAcentral
GCAUGGGUGGCGGAAUGGUAGACGCAUAAGGUUGAGGUCCUUAUUGGUAGUUUCCAGUGAGAGUUCAAGUCUCUUCCCGUGCACCA